RNAcentral lists this ribosomal RNA (1161 nucleotides) under Saccharomyces cerevisiae (brewer's yeast). The record is from RNAcentral. Lineage: Eukaryota; Fungi; Ascomycota; Saccharomycetes; Saccharomycetales; Saccharomycetaceae.
AUGAAAUUAAAAUUAUUAAAUAUAAUUUUAUCAAUAAUAAAUAAACUUAAUAAUAAUAAUAAUAUUAUUAUUAAUAAUCUAUUAGAUUCAUUAAUAAAUAAGAAAUUAUUAUUAAAGAAUAUAUUAUUAGAUAUAAAUAAUAAAAAAAUAAAUAAUAUAAAAAGAAUAUUAAAUAAUAAUAAUAUAAAUAUUAAUAAUAAAUUACAACAUUUAAAUAAUAUAAAUAAUUGAAAUCUACAAAUUUAUAAUUAUAAUAAAAAUAUAGAAAUUAUAAAUACUAUAAAUGAUAAAUUAAUUAAUAAAUUAUUAUAUAAAAUAAUAACUUUAAAAUUAAAUAAUAUAAAUAUUAAUAAAAUUAUUAUAAGUAAACUUAUUAAUCAACAUAGUUUAAAUAAAUUAAAUAUUAAAUUUUAUUAUUAUAAUAAUGAUAUUAAUAAUAAUAAUAAUAAUAAUAAUAAUAAUUAUUAUAUAAAUAUAAUAAAUAAAUUAAUAAAUAUUAUAAAUAAUAAUAUAAAUAAUAAUUUAUGUAAUAUUUUAAGUUAUUAUUAUAAUAAAAAAGUAACUAUUGAACCUAUUAAAUUAUCAUAUAUUUAUUUAAAUAGUGAUAUUUUUAGUAAAUAUAUUAGUUUAAAUGAUAUAGAUAAAUAUAAUAAUGGUAUCUUAACUAAUUAUCAACGUAUAUUAAAUAAUAUUAUGCCUAAAUUAAAUGAUCAUAAUAUUUCUAUAAAUUAUAUUAAUAAUAUUAAUAAUAUUAAUAAUAAUAAAUAUAAUAAUAUAAUUAAUUUAUUAAAUAAUAAUAAUAAUAAUAAUAAUAAUAUUAAUAAUAAUUAUAAUAAUAAUAAUAAUAAUAAUAAUUAUAUUGGUAAUAUUAAUAAUAUUUAUAAUAAUAUAACUAUUGAUAAUAUUCCUAUAGAUAUUUUAAUAUAUAAAUAUUUAGUUGGUUGAUCUAUUAAAUUUAAAGGUAGAUUAAGUAAUAAUAAUGGUAGAACUAGUACACUUAAUUUAUUAAAUGGUACUUUUAAUAAUAAAAAAUAUUUAUGAAGUAAUAUUAAUAAUAAUUAUAAAUUAAAUUAUAUCCCUUCUAAUCAUAAUUUAUAUAAUAAUUCUAAUAUUAAUAAAAAUGGUAAAUAUAAUAUUAAAGUUAAAUUAAACUUUAUUUAA